Molecule: long non-coding RNA, 1135 nt
Organism: Oncorhynchus tshawytscha (Chinook salmon)
Lineage: Eukaryota; Metazoa; Chordata; Actinopteri; Salmoniformes; Salmonidae
Source: Ensembl
CCUCAAUGAAAUGAUGAAAUAUACAGACCACAAAUUCCAAUUGGCUGUAGUUACUCUGUUAUAUUCCCCAGUAUUUGGAACCAAGGACUGAUCACCCCAAUCCACAAAAGUGGAGACACAUUUGACCCCAAUAACCACCGUGGGAUAUGUAUCAACAGCAACCUUGGGAAAAUCCUCCUCAUUAUCAUUAACAGCAGACUCGAAGUCAUCUCAUGCUUUUGACUGAACUUGGCAUGAGGGUCUGCUAUACAAACUGAUGGAAAGGGGUGUUGUGGGAAAAACAUACAACAUUAUAAAAUCCAUGUACACAAACAACAAGUGUGCGGUUAAAAUGGGCUAAAAACAAACACAUUUCUUUCCACAGGACAGAAAUGCAGCUUAAUCAAUAAAUAUAUAAACAAAAAAAAACACAAAAAAAAUAUAUAAACAAAAAAACAAAUGUUCUCUCAUUGUCAACUGCGUUUAUUUUCAGCAAAUUUAACAUGUGUAAAUAUUUGUAUGAACAUAACAAGAUUCAACAACUGAGACAUAAACUGAACAAGUUCCACAGACAUGUGACUAACAGAAAUGGAAUAAUGUGUCCCUGAACAAAGGGGGGGGUGGUCAAAAUCAAAAGUAACAGUCAGUAUCUGGUGUGGCCACCAGCUGCAUUAAGUACUGCAGUGCAUCUCCUCCUCACGGACUGCACCAGAACGAACAGUUCUUGCUGUGAGAUGUCACCCCACCCUUCCACCUUGGCACCUGCAAGUUCCCGGACAUUUCUGGGGGGAAUGGCCCUAGCCCUCACCCGGAUUGAGAUCCGGGCUCUUCGCUGGCCAUGGCAGAACACUGACAUUCCUGUCUUGCAGGAAAUCACGCACAGAACUAGCAGUAUGGUUGGUGGCAUUGUCAUGCUGGAGGGUCAUAUCAGGAUGAGCCUGCAGGAAGGGUACCACAUGAGGGAGGAGGAUGUCUUCCCUGUAACGCACAGCGUUGAGAUUUCCUGCAAUGACAAUAAGCUCAGUCCAAUGAUGCUGUGACACACCACCUCAGACCAUGACGGACCCUCCACCUCCAAAUAGAUCCCGCGCCCAUAGGCAACGUUACUGCCGAUUAUAUCUGGUGGGGACCUGCCUUAAGACAGGCCUACAAGCCC